GCUUCGUGGUGUAGUGGUCAGCACACUCGGUUUGUAUUCGGGAGGUCCGUGGUUCGAGUCCCGGCGAUGGCA
Molecule: transfer RNA, 72 nt
Filed under: Stegodyphus mimosarum
Lineage: Eukaryota; Metazoa; Arthropoda; Arachnida; Araneae; Eresidae
Rfam family: tRNA
About the family: Transfer RNA (tRNA) molecules are approximately 80 nucleotides in length. Their secondary structure includes four short double-helical elements and three loops (D, anti-codon, and T loops).
Source: Rfam by way of RNAcentral